This 588-nucleotide ribosomal RNA is filed under the name Gnathophis heterognathos. RNAcentral's name for it is "partial 12S ribosomal RNA". It matches the Rfam family "Bacterial small subunit ribosomal RNA", at positions 358 to 1278 of the family's 1533-position model. The record is from RNAcentral. Lineage: Eukaryota; Metazoa; Chordata; Actinopteri; Anguilliformes; Congridae.
UAAACAUUAAGCCAUGAGUGAAAACUCGACUUAAUUAAGACCAAAUAGAACCGGUAAAACUCGUGCCAGCCACCGCGGUUAUACGAGAGGUUCAAAUUGAUAAUCCACGGCGUAAAGCAUGAUUAGAGAAAAAACAAAACUAAAGCCAAACAUCCCCCAAGCCGUCAUACGCUUACGGAAGUAAGAAGUCCCACAACGAAAGUGGCCUUAAAACACCUUGAAUUCAUGAACGUUAAGAAACAAACUGGGAUUAGAUACCCCACUAUGCUUAACUGUAAACAACGAUGAUAAUAUACAGAUAUCAUCCGCCAGGGGACUACGAGCAUUAGCUUAAAACCCAAAGGACUUGGCGGUGCCUCAAACCCACCUAGAGGAGCCUGUUCUAUAACCGAUAACCCCCGUUCAACCUCACCACUCCUUGUCAUCCCAGCCUAUAUACCGCCGUCGCCAGCUUACCUCGUGAGAGUAUAAUAGUAAGCCAAAUGGGCCCCACCCAAAACGUCAGGUCGAGGUGUAGCAAAUGAAGUGGGAAGAAAUGGGCUACAUUUUCUAACCCAGAAUAUUACGAAAAGUGCCAUGAAACAAGCA